GACGGAGGAUGCAAGCGUUAUCCGGAAUGAUUGGGCGUAAAGCGUCCGCAGGUGGCAGUUCAAGUCUGCUGUCAAAGACCGGGGCUUAACUUCGGAAAGGCAGUGGAAACUGAACAGCUAGAGUAUGGUAGGGGCAGAGGGAAUUCCUGGUGUAGCGGUGAAAUGCGUAGAUAUCAGGAAGAACACCCGUGGCGAAGGCGGUUCUCUGGGACGGUACUGACGCUGAGACGCGAAAGCGUGGGGAGCGAACAGG
RNAcentral lists this ribosomal RNA (253 nucleotides) under uncultured bacterium. RNAcentral describes it as "partial 16S ribosomal RNA". It matches the Rfam family "Bacterial small subunit ribosomal RNA", at positions 524 to 776 of the family's 1533-position model. The record is from RNAcentral.